UAACUGCGGAGUUCUGAUGGGA
Molecule: non-coding RNA, 22 nt
Filed under: Arabidopsis thaliana (thale cress)
Lineage: Eukaryota; Viridiplantae; Streptophyta; Magnoliopsida; Brassicales; Brassicaceae
Source: RNAcentral